Molecule: long non-coding RNA, 625 nt
Organism: Bubalus bubalis (water buffalo)
Lineage: Eukaryota; Metazoa; Chordata; Mammalia; Artiodactyla; Bovidae
Exons: 3
Source: RefSeq, a predicted model, not a curated record
UCUUUACAAUGAUCAGUAAUUUGAUGUAGGCUGCCAAAAGUACGUGAAUCUUGGGUGGGGCAAUAUAUUCCAGCUGAGGCAAUCUCCAAAGAGGGCUGACAACAGAGUGCUAGUCAGGGGAAAAUUCAUUCCUGACGGGGCAUUCUAGGAGAAUCAUCAUGGCCUCCGCUAUAUAAAUCUAACAGAACAGAAAGAGUGGUCACCCACCAAUGGGUACAAAAUUUAUUUCUCCAUAGUUUCAGAGAGGUGUAAGUUGAAAAUUUCAUCUGCCCACAUCCAUCCAACAACUGGUUUCUUCCUCUGAUAAUCUUUAAGAUGUCUAUCAGAGGGUGGUCCUAAGAUGGCGGAGGAAUAGGACGGGGAGACCACUUUCUCCCCCACAAAUUCAUCAAAAGAACAUUUGAACGCUGAGUAAAUUCCACAAAACAACGUCUGAAUGCCGGCAGAGGACAUCAUGCACCCAGAAAAGCAGCCCAUUGUCUUCGAAAGGAGGCCGAUUAUUUACUGCUGAACUGGACAUGGAACAACAAACUGGUUCCAAAUAGGACAGAGUGCAUCAAGGCUGUAUAUCGUCACCAAGUUUGUUUAACUUAUAUGCAGAGUACAUCAUGAGAAACUCUGGGCU